CUCUGUGAAAAGCAAGUGGGUGUCCCUUUGGUGGUCCGCAAUGCCUGACUGAAAGCACGACAGCAACCGCUGAUGAACCCGAAUUGAAUAUGCGCAUAUCUGUCAAAUAUCCAUCAACAAACUAACUUAACCAAGCAGGACCAGUCGUCGGCUCAACACUGCCACCGACUGUCUGUUGAGAGAGAGGCCCAGCAAGUUAUAUUUCGAAACGAGCUCCGCGGAAGAUAUUUCUCUGUGACUGUCCAGAAGAGAGGAGACCUGAAAUCCUCGGAAUCUUCCUAUUUGGUUAACGAGAUCAUCGAGGAAGGAAGCUAUGGCCAGGUGGCCCGGUGUUAAAACGGCCACCAAUCAAAAGAUCGCCAGGUUAAUGUGCCUCACAGUUCUUGACCCAGAUGGGGGUGGGAUCGUGAGAUGGAUGGAUGUCUUCCAACAUGGUCCAAAAAUCUGUCUGGAGUUUGAGCUCCUGGAUAAAAGUCUCAGAUACCUGACCCAGCAGAAAGAGCUCCACCUUCUGCCUUUGAAUCAAAUCAAGAUCAUCCUGGAACAGGUGUGGUUGGACUUCAACCUCAACAACAUUUACCAUUAUAUUUGACAAUUUACGGUUCUCAAAACAGAAGCAGGAAGCAGUGCAGGGGCAGGGAUGUUGGAUGUGCUGUUCUCCAGCGCAUCCAGCACUGAGCAUCCACCAACACUGCAACCAAUCCGCCGCCGGGUUCUCUUACUCAUGAAUAGACAAUGAAGUUAUUUCUAGGCCUGAUUCAGAUCAAGUUCAGAACGACACGGGCUGGUCAGGCGUU
Gadus macrocephalus (Pacific cod) is the source of this 797-nucleotide long non-coding RNA. RefSeq lists it as uncharacterized. Lineage: Eukaryota; Metazoa; Chordata; Actinopteri; Gadiformes; Gadidae. The transcript is spliced from 4 exons. The record is from RefSeq and is a predicted model, not a curated record.